This 64-nucleotide transfer RNA is filed under the name Sinomicrurus peinani. Its description in RNAcentral is "tRNA-Arg". Lineage: Eukaryota; Metazoa; Chordata; Lepidosauria; Squamata; Elapidae. The record is from RNAcentral.
ACUAAGGUAGUCUAACCAGACAUCUGAUUUCGACUCAGAAGAACUUAUUAUUUAAGCCAUAGUU